Molecule: ribosomal RNA, 253 nt
Filed under: uncultured bacterium
Lineage: Bacteria
Description: partial 16S ribosomal RNA
Rfam family: Bacterial small subunit ribosomal RNA
Source: RNAcentral
UACAGAGGUCUCAAGCGUUGUUCGGAUUCAUUGGGCGUAAAGGGUGUGUAGGUGGCGCCGUAAGUCGGGUGUGAAAUCUCGGAGCUUAACUCCGAAACUGCAUUCGAUACUGCCGUGCUUGGGGACUGGAGAGGAGACUGGAAUUUACGGUGUAGCGGUGAAAUGCGUAGAUAUCGUAAGGAAGACCAGUGGCGAAGGCGGGUCUCUGGACAGUUCCUGACGCUGAGGCACGAAGGCCAGGGGAGCAAACGGG